GCUGGGCGUGGUAGUGCAUGCUUGUAGUCCCAGCUACUUAGGAGGCUGAGAUGGGAGGAUUGCUUGAGCCCAGGAGGUCAAGGGUGCAGUGAACUACGAUUGUGCCACUGCACGCCACAGCCUGGGCAACAUAGCAAGACCUUGUCUCUA
RNAcentral lists this non-coding RNA (150 nucleotides) under Pan paniscus (pygmy chimpanzee). Lineage: Eukaryota; Metazoa; Chordata; Mammalia; Primates; Hominidae. RNAcentral also lists the same sequence under 1 other name. The record is from Rfam by way of RNAcentral.